UACAGAGGGGGCAAGCGUUGUUCGGAAUUACUGGGCGUAAAGGGCGCGUAGGCGGCCGGCUCAGUCGAACGUGAAAUCCCCGGGCUCAACCCGGGAACUGCGUUCGAUACUGGCUGGCUUGAAUCCGGGAGAGGGAUGCGGAAUUCCAGGUGUAGCGGUGAAAUGCGUAGAUAUCUGGAGGAACACCGGUGGCGAAGGCGGCAUCCUGGACCGGCAUUGACGCUGAGGCGCGAAAGCCAGGGGAGCAAACGGG
RNAcentral lists this ribosomal RNA (253 nucleotides) under uncultured bacterium. Its description in RNAcentral is "partial 16S ribosomal RNA". It matches the Rfam family "Bacterial small subunit ribosomal RNA", at positions 524 to 776 of the family's 1533-position model. The record is from RNAcentral.